AGAGUUUGAUUCUGGCUCAGGAUGAACGCUGGCGGCAUGCCUAACACAUGCAAGUCGAACGGAGUUAUGAGACAGCUUGCUGUUGAGUAACUUAGUGGCGGACGGGUGAGUAACGCGUGAGUAACCUGCCUCUCAGAGGGGGAUAACGUUCUGAAAAGGACGCUAAUACCGCAUAUAAUUAUGAAGUCGCAUGACUUUAUAAUGAAAGGAGCAAUCCGCUGAGAGAUGGACUCGCGUCUGAUUAGCUUGAUGGUGAGGUAACGGCUCACCAUGGCGACGAUCAGUAGCCGGACUGAGAGGUUGAACGGCCACAUUGGGACUGAGACACGGCCCAGACUCCUACGGGAGGCAGCAGUGGGGGAUAUUACGCAAUGGGGGGAAAAACCCCCUGACGUAGCAAUGCCGCGUGAAGGAAGAAGGUUUUCGGAUUGUAAACUUCUUUUGUCAGGGACGAUAAUGACGGUACCUGACGAAUAAGCUCCGGCUAACUAUGUGCCAGCCGCCGC
This 506-nucleotide ribosomal RNA is filed under the name uncultured bacterium. Its description in RNAcentral is "bacterial SSU rRNA". It matches the Rfam family "Bacterial small subunit ribosomal RNA", at positions 8 to 518 of the family's 1533-position model. The record is from RNAcentral.